UCUCAAAAGAACGAAGAGGACCACACAACGGAGAAAGUCGCGUCUGUUUCACCGACUGGACAAGUUCCUGCAGGAAGAGUGACUGGAUUGGAAUCAUUUGCUCUCAAGGUGGCAAAUAUGGAGGGUUUUUUUCUACUUGGAAGAAGCACAAACCUCAAGCUCACAUCUCUACUCUUCUUUUGCUGCUGCUUUGUGUGGAGGUCAGAAGCCGACUGUGGCAGGCCUCAGAGAGGACAAAACAGCGUGUUUACCGACCAAGCACUCCUGAUGGAUAAAUUUCCAGAGGGCUCCAGCGUCACAUUGGAGUGUUCCAACGGCUACGAAAAGGAGGCAGGCUCGGAAGUCAUAACUUGCCAGAAUGACAACUGGACUCAAGUUGAGCUCAUCUGCAAAAAAAGAGACUGCGGUGUGCCUAAACCUCAACCGAACAUGAUAUUUGACAACACAUCCGGUACCCUCUUUGGCGACGUUGUGCACGUCACGUGUGAGAAAGGUUACGAAAUUAGCGGCUCCAGCUUCAAGCAGUGCUUCUUCCUGGGCUGGUUGGGAAAAUCCGAGUGUCACAUAAAAACGUGCAAGCGGCCCGCAGAAGUGAGCAAUGGCAACAAUUCAUGGGAUUCCCAAGACCCCCCAACGUACGGCCAAGUCAUCCUGUAUAACUGCGACAAAGGCUACACGCUCAUCGGGAACGGCUCCAUCCUGUGCGACGAAACGGGUCAAUAUGAUUCUCCGCCUCCUGAAUGCAAAGUCCUUUCGGCAACGACCAUGUCAUCAGCAGCAGCUCACAGAGAUAAAAUUAUCAGGGGUGGUACAGAAGUCACCACGCGGCGAGGUACAUAUAGCACAUAUGACACACACACAAUGACGAUGGCGGGAGAGGAGGGGAUGGCAAUUAAUGUGACAUCAUCGCCUUCAUCUUUCUUCCAAGAAACCCAUGACGUGGUCACAGAUGCCAAAAAAGAUAUCGAUUAUUUACCUGUUAUACUCAGCGUGGUGUGCGGCACACUCGUCGUAUGCAUAGCGGUGUUCUGUCUGUAUCGGUGUCUUCUAAGGAGGAAAGGGUGUCUGCAUUUGUGACCUUGUAGUUCAUAUGACACUCAAGAAGACAUGAAGUCCAACUUCUUACUCUUCCAAAACCUCUAGAAGGCUGACUGCAUUCCAAGCUGGAAGAAUGCCUAUCUGCUGAAUAGCAUCUGGGAAGUCAGGAAGGAUGUGCCAACACACUGGAGCAGUCCCUCUGAAGGGAAGAAAGGGAAGGGGGAAAAAAGAAUUUGAAAAAUACUAUUGCACUUCCACUGGCAGGCCAUUCUGUUUAGUCAAUGUGUCGCCAGUCCAAUAAUAGUCAAGCACUUUUUUGUUACACGUUGUAAAUAUUCACUGCUACCGAACUAUUAUUUAAUGUAUUUUUUUUUUCGAUUGCUAACUGGAAUACAUGUACAGUAUGUUCUUAUGGGUCAAAUAUGCAGUUUGGCAAAGGAUCUUAGCGUGAGAAAACGGGUGUCGGUGAGGCCCUGCAACAAUGCGGUUCAGUUUGCUGGCUGCGACUGCGGUGGCGGCAGCUGAUAAAAGACACAAUCAGCUGCAUUCUUUGACUUUGCGUGGUCCUCCUGCCCCUCAUUGUGAGGUCUCCCCUUUGCUCGGCUGUGAUGGAUAAUGCAGCACUUCAUGGCAAAGAAUGCAGAAAGGGGGCUACUUACGUUGAUGACUGAGGCAGAUGUGCUGAACCCCCCACCCCCUUCUCACCUUCCAUAUAUGUUAAUUUAAAAACUAGAUGAAAACUUUUUUUUUGUUGGAAUGUGAUCAGGCUUUGUAGCGAUUAGCUAGUCUGCUUGACAAUUGAAAUCCCGGUUCUAGUUUCUACCCAAUGGAGCGACUCGUUCUCCCCAUCUUUGCGUGUUCUUCCAAGUUCUCUGUUUUCCUCCAACAAGUUGAUUGCAGGUUUGUCUACGUCUGAAUAGAUAAUGGAUGGAUGGGUUUGUGGAAUUUUUUUGGGUUGUGCCGGAUAGAUUGUUGUGUUUUCAUGUUAUGUCUUAGUUCCCGACGUGCUUUGUCUUCUGUCUUGUCUGCUUGAUUUGAUUUAGUCUCGGUGUGUUCUCAGCCCCGUUUCUUUGUUUCAACAAAUCAACUCCCGACACCCACUCAUGCGUUGUCCAGGUGUGCUUCAUUGUUUUCUCAGUUUGCUCUUGUCGGUUGUCGGUACAUUGAGCUACUGUUGGUCAUACUCAUCGAGUCAUGUUUCCUUUUGUGGCAAAUGUAUUCCGUGUUAGUUUAGACCAGGGGUGCCCAUCAGAUCGAUCCUGAUCUACCGGUAGAUCUAAGACAGUUCCCAAGUAGAUCCGAGGAGUGUCGAGGAGAAAAAAAACAAAACAACCAUUAUUGUGUCUUUGUACAUGUUAGUAAUAUAUUUUUUGUGUUAAUGUACGCUGCACCCUAAUCAUCCUAUCAAGUCUCAUUUUCACCCAAAAAUAUUUAAAAAAUAAAAUAAAGCAGGUAAAUCUUGAAUUUACGGUGGCGCGUGAUUACGUCACCAGAAGUUGUUAGCGCUCAGCAGUUUGCAAUUGCAGCUUGUGAUCAGAACUGUUGCGCUCUAUCUUUUAUCGUCAUUAUUCUCAUUCGUUUGCUUCGUGUACUAUUCAACGAGGGCACGAGCAAAGAAUAGGAAUCUAGGAGGGCCCAGGGAAGCACUUUAAAACGGCACGUGUGGGCUACGAUAGUUAACAGACUGCAAAAGUGCAUCGCAUGCCUCAGUUUCAGGCUUUCUCAUCAUGGCGUGCGUGCGUGUGUGUGCGCAUGCGUGCUGGUAAGGGUAGAUCCCGGGAGAUUAGUUGAUCGAAAAGUAGAUCUUCGGUCCAAAAAGUGGGGGCACCCCUGGUUUAGACCUUGCUUUUCCCUCGACUAGUUUGUCAUUUCCAUGUACCUUUUUUGUAAAUAAUUCCCUUUUUUUGUGCUCACUCAUGCUCCAUGGGUUUUGCCUCCACACCAACACUGACUAGCUAAUUGUGAUGCUGUCUUAAAAACAUAUUUGAAGUAAAUUUCAGAACAACGGAAACUCGCGCUUAUUUCCUGAGCACUUAUAACGCUGGUCAUAACAGUGUGAUAAACAUGUCAUUUAAAAACAACAAA
This is an RNA transcript of Hippocampus zosterae (dwarf seahorse), 3123 nucleotides long. It is a transcript of the gene named complement decay-accelerating factor, GPI-anchored, with no coding region annotated. Lineage: Eukaryota; Metazoa; Chordata; Actinopteri; Syngnathiformes; Syngnathidae. The record is from RefSeq and is a predicted model, not a curated record. The transcript has 12 exons.